RNAcentral lists this long non-coding RNA (482 nucleotides) under Homo sapiens (human). RNAcentral describes it as "non-protein coding LINC01985:8". The record is from RNAcentral. Lineage: Eukaryota; Metazoa; Chordata; Mammalia; Primates; Hominidae.
GCUCAGAACUCUGAUGGGCUUCAGAGUGGAAUGAGAUCACUUAUCAAAUUGGCAACAGGUCCUCUCUGGCCAUCUCCGUAUAGUUUGACCCAAUGAGUUUGGUUCUCCCUUCUUUGUCAAUUCCCCUGUCUCCUGAAUGUCUCAUUCUCAAACUAAUUUUGCUUGAAAUUGUGGCUGGAGAUGGUAUGUUUGAAACUUAAUAUGAUGAACAUAGAACAGGUAAGACAUUAUUCUUCCCCCAUUCAUUCCUAGUCAUUGAUUUUAGUUACAUUUUUAAGUCCAGCUUUCCAAAACUGAAACAUGGGACUGCUUUAAAAGCACAUGACUAAUUUCAUAAUCUGUUCCUUUGCAGUUGGAUUGGUUCAUAGUUGCUUCCCUCAGAUUCAUUCUCUGAGCCAUUCAAUUAAGAUCAGCCUUGGUGCUGGAACCCCACAAGAGAGAAGUAAUACCUUGUCUCUUACCCUGAACUGCAAAAAACUAAA